CUUAGCUUCCUUGCCACUACCUGGAGGAGGUCAUCAGCACUUCCUGGAGCCUCCAUCCAUCCCUCAUCCUAUGGCAAGAGUGAAAUAAUUGUCCCAAAGUGCAAAAGGGUUUAUGCUGUGUGCUCAGUGGCUCACAAUGUCCAGUUCAGAUCUGUGCAAGCCAGAUACGCAAAUGAAGAGGAAAAAAGUAUUUAGGUGAGAAGAUAUCAAUCAUGGAUCACUACAUCAAAAACUAAUGAUGUAAUGUGUGAUGAUUAACAUAACAUAAUAAAAUAAAAGAAAUGC
This 285-nucleotide long non-coding RNA is filed under the name Zalophus californianus (California sea lion). RNAcentral's name for it is "lncRNA (ENSZCAG00015010085.1)". The record is from RNAcentral. Lineage: Eukaryota; Metazoa; Chordata; Mammalia; Carnivora; Otariidae.